This 1371-nucleotide ribosomal RNA is filed under the name uncultured bacterium. RNAcentral's name for it is "bacterial SSU rRNA". It matches the Rfam family "Bacterial small subunit ribosomal RNA", at positions 28 to 1381 of the family's 1533-position model. The record is from RNAcentral.
GAUGAACGCUGGCGGCGUGCCUAAUACAUGCAAGUCGAGCGAACAGACGAGGAGCUUGCUCCUUUGACGUUAGCGGCGGACGGGUGAGUAACACGUGGGUAACCUACCUAUAAGACUGGGAUAACUUCGGGAAACCGGAGCUAAUACCGGAUAAUAUUUCGAACCGCAUGGUUCGAUAGUGAAAGAUGGCUUUGCUAUCACUUAUAGAUGGACCUGCGCCGUAUUAGCUAGUUGGUAAGGUAACGGCUUACCAAGGCAACGAUACGUAGCCGACCUGAGAGGGUGAUCGGCCACACUGGAACUGAGACACGGUCCAGACUCCUACGGGAGGCAGCAGUAGGGAAUCUUCCGCAAUGGGCGAAAGCCUGACGGAGCAACGCCGCGUGAGUGAUGAAGGUCUUCGGAUCGUAAAACUCUGUUAUUAGGGAAGAACAAACGUGUAAGUAACUGUGCACGUCUUGACGGUACCUAAUCAGAAAGCCACGGCUAACUACGUGCCAGCAGCCGCGGUAAUACGUAGGUGGCAAGCGUUAUCCGGGAUUAUUGGGCGUAAGCGCGCGUAGGCGGUUUUUUAGUCUGAUGUGAAAGCCCACGGCCUUUAGCGUGGAGGGUCAUUGGAAACUGGAAAACUUGAGUGCAGAAGAGGAAAGUGGAAUUCCAUGUGUAGCGGUGAAAUGCGCAGAGAUAUGGAGGAACACCAGUGGCGAAGGCGACUUUCUGGUCUGUAACUGACACUGAUGUGCGAAAGCGUGGGGAUCAAACAGGAUUAGAUACCCUGGUAGUCCACGCCGUAAACGAUGAGUGCUAAGUGUUAGGGGGUUUCCGCCCCUUAGUGCUGCAGCUAACGCAUUAAGCACUCCGCCUGGGGAGUACGACCGCAAGGUUGAAACUCAAAGGAAUUGACGGGGACCCGCACAAGCGGUGGAGCAUGUGGUUCAAUUCGAAGCAACGCGAAGAACCUUACCAAAUCUUGACAUCCUUUGACCCUUCUAGAGAUAGAAGUUUCCCCUUCGGGGGACAAAGUGACAGGUGGUGCAUGGUUGUCGUCAGCUCGUGUCGAGAGAUGUUGGGUUAAGUCCCGCAACGAGCGCAACCCUUAAGCUUAGUUGCCAUCAUUAAGUUGGGCACUCUAAGUUGACUGCCGGUGACAAACCGGAGGAAGGUGGGGAUGACGUCAAAUCAUCAUGCCCCUUAUGAUUUGGGCUACACACGUGCUACAAUGGACAAUACAAAGGGCAGCGAAACCGCGAGGUCAAGCAAAUCCCAUAAAGUUGUUCUCAGUUCGGAUUGUAGUCUGCAACUCGACUACAUGAAGCUGGAAUCGCUAGUAAUCGUAGAUCAGCAUGCUACGGUGAAUACGUUCCCGGGUCU